This is a long non-coding RNA of Hylaeus anthracinus, 4419 nucleotides long. RefSeq lists it as uncharacterized. NCBI's taxonomy places the organism in Eukaryota, Metazoa, Arthropoda, Insecta, Hymenoptera, Colletidae. The transcript is spliced from 3 exons. The record is from RefSeq and is a predicted model, not a curated record.
AAUAGCGAAGUAACCGCGAUCGACAGCUGCCAGUUGGUUCCAACGAAGCAACGACUGCCGUUAAGUUGUUGCCCUGUUAGAACUCGCUAAUCCAGCAGUAACCGUUGUUGCAGCCUUCACGGUGCGUGGAUUUUAACGACCGUUACCUCGCAAACGAACCUCGAAGAUCGCCAAACGCGUUUCCUCCGAUCAGAAGAAGCUAACCAUUCGGGAUGCAACGUGGCACGACCGUCAGAAGUCCGCGAGAACAAGCGAUCUUAUUCCAGCACUAAUUAGACCAAGUUAGGAAACUAAUUGACUCGUUACACCGUCUUCGUCGCUGCGCGUUAUAAUGCAUGUAAUUAUUUAUAAGCCAACGUUACGUUAGAGACGCUUUCGAGGCGCAAGUACGCACUGAGCUCGAGUCGAGCAGAGGGUGAAACGUGAAAGUAGAGUUUCUUGGGUCUGAUCGUUUUUUUCUUUGAAAAUUCUUGUCCGCUGGAACGAGGUGUUCGAGCUGAUGUGACAUUUACGAGUGGAUAUGUUUCCUGAUUGCGCGCGAAAAACAGGGGAACUUGCGAAGCCAGUUUCCUAGGCCGAUUGACAGAAUUUGCGUGGCUAAAUCUAAGCUUCGUUGGAAGUUCAAUAAAAAAUUAAGAAUUAAUGUCAAGUACUAGGCUGCACUAGCAAUCGUGGUUAUUUCGUUGGAGCCUGGAACAGAAUCUUUCUUUCGCAAACAGAAUUUGUUUUCGAAGAAUAGCAUAUGUCUCAUCGUAUUACAUUAGGAAUAGCCUAUGACUAAACCAAUCCGACAGGCCUGAAGAGUUAGUAAUCAUCAGCAACACUGUAACCAAACCAUUCUAAUUCCGUAUCGAUUUUCCCCCUACGCAUCUUCGCUAACAUCUCGGAUCUCGAAGCAAAGCCAUCGGAAAUCGUUGAAAGAGAUAAAUGUCGGUGGGCAACUGUUCCCGCCAAAAAACCGUUACACGCAAAUUGUUUCCACUCGUACAGCGCAAACAUCGAGACGUUUGUUUGGCUUCCGCGAUUCUCGAGUAAAUGUAUCCUUCCGAUCGAUGCAUACCUAGAGUCGAUUUGUGUAUAAACAGAUCCUUAUUGGCGACCCGCCAGCUCUGUCGCGAAGCUAUUGGAACCGAUUUGGCCCCCGACGGGACACGCCGGUCCCGUAAUCGUGAAAGUGUAUCGAUCUCCGUGAUCUAGGCCAUCGUGUCACCUUUUCAGUCCGCGGACGAUCAGCUGUAAAACGAGUCUUCCGCUUUCUUGCGUCCAAAAGCGAGGAAACGCGAUUGCAAACAGUUAUGGUUCGUAGAUUCUCGAGGGUUGGUUCAUCUAAUUUUUUCGGAGCAGGCUUGAGGGCUUCAAAGAUUCCUAUUGGUCUCUUCUAGCAAUAAUAGUAUGAUAUAAACAGGUACUUCGAAAAGAGAGAAAGGAACGUAACUUUGUUUCGGAUGGACGUCGAUUUGCUGGUCAUGUGGUUAACUAUUUUAAUCAGCUGAACGUUAGGAGGGCGUUUUGGUCGAAUAUUGAGGUGUUACUCCAUUGGAAAAUGAUUUGGCAUUGAAAAAUGGAUAAGAACUUGCUGGAAAUUGGACAAUUUUCAGGGUCAGUGAUUUUCUUCGGAGGAUAAGUUUCCUUUCAGCACUUUCUAUUGAUUAGCGUCGCUUUCGCUUUCUUUUCGACACGCCUCAUUAAUAAAUAAGAAUUCUAAAAGGAUCUCCGAAGAAAACCAUUGCUUGCUCUUCUAAUUCUAAGCAUUAGUGCAGGACAGCCAUGUCUAUGUAUGUAGCCAUUGCAAAUGGUAAUUUCUAAUGUGUUGCAUGAAAGUUAAGCUUAUUAAAGAAUGGGGAUGAUUUACAAUGAAAUAGUUUAUCUAAUAAAUUACCAGACAAAUUGCGUAUAAUAUUCAUCCUUGAGAAGACUACCUAAAAAGCAUCCAAAGUCCGACCAACAGCUCGCGAUGAAUUCCGCAAAACAGCAUGAGCUAACCGCUGAACCAAACAUGGACCACUGGGAUAUUAUCUACCUGUUAAUUUACACAAGCACGAAUCAGUUCACCAACUGUGGAAUUCGAGCGAAAUGCGGAUUGAAACAUCCAAUGAGUGAAAUCGAGCAAUUCAAGCGGGAGGAAAGUGAUUUGGUAUGGCAACGUAUGUAACUGGGAGAGUCGCUAUAGUCGAAAGAAAACAGAAGUGGAGAUACCUAUACCAUCGACAGGAUCUUAACAGUUUUUAUAGCUCACUUCCAACCUUCAGACAGAAUCUUUGAAUUUUCUUAAGUGUUAAUAUUUUUUUUUAAGUACUCAAAUAACUGCUUCUUUGUGGAACAAAAAUUGAACUUUGUAUGAUAGUCUGAAUAAUCAUACCAGAAUUUGUCAUUUACACUUUUCAAAUCAUUCGCUAGUAUUUUCCAACCUUUAGACCACCUACCCAACAGAAUCUUUUAAUUUUCUUAAGUGUUAAUAUUUUUUUUAAAUUGCUGAAAUAACUGCUUCUUUGUGAAACAAAAAUUGAACUCUGUAUGAUAGUCUGAAUAAGCAUAGCUUUAUCGAACAAUUUAUCAUUUGUACGUUUAAAAUAAUUCAUGUUAACCUUUUAAAGGGUCACGAAAAAAAAUAUCGCUCUACAUUUUUGACUCGUUUGUGCGUGACUAAUUAGCCAUAUUAGAUUCGUACUCUUCUUGCAUAGAUCAGAAGGUCUCGCUUGACGUUCCUCCGUGUGGCAGAGUUUCCUGUUCGCGAGCACGUCGGUUGUCGUAGGUCAGCGAUUCUCGAUACGAUCUUCCGGUCUUUCUACGUGACUUAUAAAUACAUUGACGGCGCGUUCCAUCAGCGAUCGACGAACGCAGAGCGACGCCAUGCGCGUCGAGGCGCAUAGCAGAACGCGGAAAACGUUCCUGAACGUUUCGACGGUACAGGAUGCUCCAAAACAAAAAUAUUAACACCUACAUAUGAGUACCUUUCUUAGAAAAAAGAACUGAAUACAUAGUCUAUCAUAAAUCUUGGUCUCUACUUGGUCACUUUGUUUAUAUAUUCUUGGAAAUACUAUUUGACCACGCGAACCAAAAUGUCAGCAGUAUUCACCACAAAGUAUUUCUAAAUCACAAAUUAAUUUCAUUAAUUCUAGAAUUCCAGAAAAUACCAUUCAUGUUUCCUCUAAAAUUUCAAUCAAGCUCAGCAUCAAUAUUCACUUCACAAUUCUAAUAAAUCGUCAAUUAAUUUCGUUAAUUUUGCCUUUGUUAUUCACAUCAAGCCCCAGAAAAUAUCAUGUAUUCCACUAGAAUUUCAGACACAAAGAAAUUUAGAAGAGAAAUUUCCAACUAGAAUUCUCUACUUUUCAACCACGCAAUUUUGGAACACCCUGUAAUAGCACCCCAUGGAAUUAAAUCAACGAAAAUCGGCGGCGAGGGUGGAAAGGAAAGCGUUGUUUGAUCGAUCGAGCCACUUGUACAAUUAAUUGAUGCUGCCGUUUGGCUGCUAGCCGCUGUAUUAUGUCACGUAGGCCGCAACAAUAAUGGCUUGCGAAACGAGCCACCGUGUGCAGACCAAAUAUUGGGACGUCGUUAAUUAACAGCAGUUUUCUUUAAUGGUCGCCCAUGCCAGUGAAUGCGCGCGCGUUGAUCAAUUAUCGCGACGGAUCGAACGAUGCUGCAUUAUUCGUCGAUCCAAUGAAUAAUCCCGACGAGAUGUAAUUGAGAAGAAUCACCGUAAAACUUGUACACGUGCUCGCGAUACAUCGCACCGAUUAUUGCCGCGACGAAGUUACGUUUAAUGUUCGUUGGCAUACGCGUCGCAAUUAGUACGAGAAAUUAAUACUAAAUUGAUUUAUGGGACAUCAAUGGGGCCUAAUUGAUGAACUAGGCGAAAUAAAAGGCAGCGAUGGUGGAGAGUUGUCGAAACUGAGGAGUCUAUCGAAAGCAAAGUGGAUUACUUUGGGUUCUGAGAGGAUCGUUUAGUGAUGAUGAGAUUAACAGUUGUUAAUUUGUUAUUUAUAUAGUGGUUUUUGGAUUGAAAGGAAAUUUUGAAACGAUGGAAUGAUGAUAUAAAAUGCAGAAAAUGGCGAUGGUGAGGAAAAUUGAUUCUUAUGUGAAACUGAGAAAUUUCCUGAAACCGAAGUGAAUUACUUGCUUCUGAGAAGAUUAUUUAGUGAUAACGAGAUUGAAUUGAGAUAAACGAGACGUUGAGAUCAACUUUCUACUCCUUUUUUCCAUCCUAAUUUUCCACGUUUCGAAGACCAUGUGUUCUUCCAUGCGAGUGGAGAUUGAAAAUGAUACGGUUCCAGUCAUGGCGAUAUCAAUGAAUGUUUCCUUCCAACAUUCGUGUUAUUUUCAAAUCUCCCUCAAUGUUGACAAAUAUUUAUUACAAAAGACAGGUGUUUAUUCGUCAAACUAUGAGCGUCUGAGGAUCAAACUAAACUUACUGAAGAG